Long non-coding RNA from Oncorhynchus tshawytscha (Chinook salmon), 1186 nucleotides. The record is from Ensembl. NCBI's taxonomy places the organism in Eukaryota, Metazoa, Chordata, Actinopteri, Salmoniformes, Salmonidae.
GUCCUGUUUGCUCUUGUUCUAUGGUGUUUGUCCUGUUUGCUCUUGUUCUAUGGUGUUUGUUCUGUCCUGUGUGGUUCAGUGAACUGUGGGAGGCCUGAUGUGGACUAUAACGGGAUGGUGUACGGGAACGACUGGUGGGUGGGCUCAGUUGUCCGGUAUGCCUGUCGCUCUGGCUUCCUAUUGGUGGGGGACCCUGCCCGAGCCUGCCAGUCCAAUGGAGGCUGGACCCCCAAACCCUCCUGUCUCAGGGUGUGUCAUCAGGGCCGCGUGGAGAUCACUGAGAAGGAGCUAGAAACAGCUACCUGCUCCUCCACCUGUCCCCUUAAGUCCUACAUGGGGCCUCUUAAGCAGGGCUGCUACGGCAUCGACAACUGCAGGAAGAUGAAUCCUGACUGGAAGCGCUGGUUCACCCGCUGUGACACGUGCCUGUGUGAUUGCCACAUCGCCUGUGGUUAAAAGACGGACAAAUUCCACUAUUGAGUGACUAGAAUAUGUAUUCCAAAACCAUCACAAGGAUAUCGGUGAACAGCCUAACAUCACAGAUCCUCAUUGGAAUCUCAAUCGGAAUGCUCGAAUCCUCGUCGGACUAUUGCUGCUUCAUCUGCUGUCAAAAGGAGGAUCAAAGGGAAACCUAGCGAGACAUCUCUGUGGAACUAACAGUCUGUUGUGAGAGACUGCGGUCCUAACCUCAACAACCUCAUAGGGUUAACGUAUAGAACACAGUGGAGAAUGGAAUAGUGUUGUACAUACUGGGAGAACAGAAGAAUAAGAGAUGAUUCAUAAGCACUGUUUUAGACCCGCAAGAACCUGCAUCCACUCUGACACUAGCUCCCAGGAGGUCUGAUUGGCCUCAUUUCCAGCCACUCAAUUCACACGCUUCCAGGGGCAGCCCAAAGUCUGGGUAACUCUUUCUCUGUGAACCUAUUAAAUGGAGAGCAACAAGUGUAAGUUCAUCAUGCACAACAAGGCAGGAUAGGCUAUGAUGACUGACCAUACCGUACAACAUUUUGAUAAGAGAAAUUUACUUUGAUUUCUGGAAGUAUGUCAUUGUAAAAUGUAUACGAAUUAAGCCUGAAAAUGUACAAGAUACAAGAGAUUACAUAGACUUCUCUGUCAAAUAAAAUGUAUUUAAAUGUGUUUAGUGUUAAUAAUGAUGCUAAUACUGACCAAUGUUCCUUACUUAAAG